CGAGCGCAACCCUUAUCCUUGGUUACCAGCACGUUAUGGUGGGCACUCUAAGGAGACUGCCGGUGACAAACCGGAGGAAGGUGGGGAUGACGUCAAGUCAUCAUGGCCCUUACGGCCUGGGCUACACACGUGCUACAAUGGUCGGUACAGAGGGUUGCCAAGCCGCGAGGUGGAGCUAAUCCCACAAAACCGAUCGUAGUCCGGAUCGCAGUCUGCAACUCGACUGCGUGAAGUCGGAAUCGCUAGUAAUCGCGAAUCAGAAUGUUGCGGUGAAUACGUUCCCGGGCCUU
Molecule: ribosomal RNA, 290 nt
Filed under: Vibrio cholerae
Lineage: Bacteria; Pseudomonadati; Pseudomonadota; Gammaproteobacteria; Vibrionales; Vibrionaceae
Description: partial 16S ribosomal RNA
Rfam family: Bacterial small subunit ribosomal RNA
Source: RNAcentral